This 253-nucleotide ribosomal RNA is filed under the name uncultured bacterium. RNAcentral's name for it is "partial 16S ribosomal RNA". It matches the Rfam family "Bacterial small subunit ribosomal RNA", at positions 524 to 776 of the family's 1533-position model. The record is from RNAcentral.
UACGUAGGUGGCAAGCGUUGUCCGGAAUUAUUGGGCGUAAAGCGCGCGCAGGUGGUUCUUUAAGUCUGAUGUGAAAGCCCACGGCUCAACCGUGGAGGGUCAUUGGAAACUGGGGAACUUGAGUGCAGAAGAGGAAAGUGGAAUUCCAAGUGUAGCGGUGAAAUGCGUAGAUAUCGGGAGGAACACCAGUGGCGAAGGCGGCUCUCUGGGCCCUACCUGACGCUGAGACGCGAAAGCGUGGGGAGCGAACCGG